Actinobacteria bacterium 13_2_20CM_2_71_6 is the source of this 58-nucleotide non-coding RNA. NCBI's taxonomy places the organism in Bacteria, Bacillati, Actinomycetota. The record is from Rfam.
CGCGCGCGCCUUUUACUCGGAUCGUCCGGCACGUUCCUGCCGGUGGAAGGAUGCACGU